GGCGAGGUAGCUCAGCUGGUAGAGCAGAGGACUGAAAAUCCUUGUGUCGGGGGUUCAAUUCCCCCCCUUGCCACCA
This 76-nucleotide transfer RNA is filed under the name Lentisphaerae bacterium RIFOXYA12_64_32. Its description in RNAcentral is "tRNA-Phe". It matches the Rfam family "tRNA". From Rfam's summary of the family: Transfer RNA (tRNA) molecules are approximately 80 nucleotides in length. The record is from RNAcentral. RNAcentral also lists the same sequence under 1 other name. Lineage: Bacteria; Pseudomonadati; Lentisphaerota.